This 492-nucleotide ribosomal RNA is filed under the name uncultured bacterium. RNAcentral's name for it is "partial 16S ribosomal RNA". It matches the Rfam family "Bacterial small subunit ribosomal RNA", at positions 29 to 507 of the family's 1533-position model. The record is from RNAcentral.
AGUGAACGCUGGCGGUAGGCCUAACACAUGCAAGUCGAACGGCAGCACAGUAAGAGCUUGCUCUUACGGGUGGCGAGUGGCGGACGGGUGAGGAAUACAUCGGAAUCUACUUUUUCGUGGGGGAUAACGUAGGGAAACUUACGCUAAUACCGCAUACGACCUACGGGUGAAAGCAGGGGAUCUUCGGACCUUGCGCGAUUGAAUGAGUCGAUGUCGGAUUAGCUAGUUGGGGGGGUAAAGGCCCACCAAGGCGACGAUCCGUAGCUGGUCUGAGAGGAUGAUCAGCCACACUGGAACUGAGACACGGUCCAGACUCCUACGGGAGGCAGCAGUGGGGAAUAUUGGCCAAGGGGCGCAAGCCUGAUCCAGCCAUACCGCGUGGGUGAAGAAGGCCUUCGGGUUGUAAAGCCCUUUUGUUGGGAAAGAAAAGCAGCAGGUUAAUACCCCGCUGUUCUGACGGUACCCAAAGAAUAAGCACCGGCUAACUUCGUG